CUGUUAUCCCUGAAAUUGUUUUAAUUCAAACUACUUAGGUACAAUAAACAUAAACUCCAAAAUGUUUGCACAAUUACUCCAUGUUUUUAGUUUGUUGUACGAUUUGCAUGAUACUUUUCAUUCUAUUGAAUUGUUUAAAUUGAAUGUACUUAACUUAGCUUGUUUUAGUCUGUUGUCAAUGCAACGCAAUACAAGGAAGAUGUUGAUUGGCUCUUUGAACUGACGUCAGACAAGGAUGCAGCGCGCAUUUUCAUCAACGUUUGCUGAUUCAACUUCAAAAGCAAGGCUAAUCAAGAUGAUCUGGAAAUGAUUUUAUGAAAGCUUCAUUGUGGACAAGUUU
This is a long non-coding RNA of Cyprinus carpio (common carp), 340 nucleotides long. RefSeq lists it as uncharacterized. The transcript is spliced from 3 exons. NCBI's taxonomy places the organism in Eukaryota, Metazoa, Chordata, Actinopteri, Cypriniformes, Cyprinidae. The record is from RefSeq and is a predicted model, not a curated record.